Molecule: ribosomal RNA, 759 nt
Filed under: uncultured Enterobacteriaceae bacterium
Lineage: Bacteria; Pseudomonadati; Pseudomonadota; Gammaproteobacteria; Enterobacterales; Enterobacteriaceae
Description: bacterial SSU rRNA
Rfam family: Bacterial small subunit ribosomal RNA
Source: RNAcentral
AUUGAACGCUGGCGGCAGGCCUAACACAUGCAAGUCGAGCGGUAGCACAGGAGAGCUUGCUCUCUGGGUGACGAGCGGCGGACGGGUGAGUAAUGUCUGGGAAACUGCCUGAUGGAGGGGGAUAACUACUGGAAACGGUAGCUAAUACCGCAUAACGUCUUCGGACCAAAGUGGGGGACCUUCGGGCCUCACGCCAUCAGAUGUGCCCAGAUGGGAUUAGCUAGUAGGUGGGGUAAUGGCUCACCUAGGCAACGAUCCCUAGCUGGUCUGAGAGGAUGACCAGCCACACUGGAACUGAGACACGGUCCAGACUCCUACGGGAGGCAGCAGUGGGGAAUAUUGCACAAUGGGCGCAAGCCUGAUGCAGCCAUGCCGCGUGUGUGAAGAAGGCCUUCGGGUUGUAAAGCACUUUCAGCGAGGAGGAAGGGUUCAGUGUUAAUAGCACUGUUCAUUGACGUUACUCGCAGAAGAAGCACCGGCUAACUCCGUGCCAGCAGCCGCGGUAAUACGGAGGGUGCAAGCGUUAAUCGGAAUUACUGGGCGUAAAGCGCACGCAGGCGGUUUGUUAAGUCAGAUGUGAAAUCCCCGCGCUUAACGUGGGAACUGCAUUUGAAACUGGCAAGCUAGAGUCUUGUAGAGGGGGGUAGAAUUCCAGGUGUAGCGGUGAAAUGCGUAGAGAUCUGGAGGAAUACCGGUGGCGAAGGCGGCCCCCUGGACAAAGACUGACGCUCAGGUGCGAAAGCGUGGGGAGCAAACAGG